GAGAUAUUUGACAUCGAACUAGUAAACUUAAAACUUAUAUAAAAUUUCUUGUAUCGAAACAAGCAACAGUAAUCGAUCAAAAUUGUUUAAAAGCCAUUUGGAAAUGAUUGGUCGCAAUGAGACCCCCCAUAAGAAGGCGAAAUUCUGGCAAUCUUACAUCAGAUCCUUGAAGGGAUCCGAAGAUAUCCGGGCUCAUGAGACUCCACGCGUCAGCCGUCCAUACAGCUCGUACUUGGACUCGCCAGCCACAUACAGGAGCAUCUUCGAUGAACCCGCCACUGCCAACGAGCGUGUGCAGUCGCAUGGCUACAGAUACUUGCCAGUGAGCAGAGACACUUAUGGCUACUCGCCACGUGCCAUCUAUGACCAUCACUACAGCAGAACUAUUCCAGCCAAUUACGACGCAGAGAGGGCUUGGAAUGAUCAUUUGAAGCGCAUGCAAGAAAUCGAACGCAGAUACCCAUCUCGUUAUGGUCUCUACUUGAAGGACAAGCCAUACACACCCAACGCUUUGGUGCCUUUGGAAUAUGAGCCAGAAGAUAAGCUGCUCCAAGAACUCAACAAGGCUCGCAGAUCGCCAUCACCACGCCCAAGUCGUUAUACUCGUGCCGGCAGUGAACCGUACGUGCCACCACCAACAUACUGGAGCCGCGCACCAAGCGUAUCGCGCGCCCCAUCUGCUUUUGAGCGCGCACGCAGCUUGGCACCAUCCUUGUUCGAUCGUGCACGCAGCUUGGCACCCAGGCCAUUGUUCCGUGCCAGCUCGUUGGAACCAUUGGAUGAACUCUUUGAUAGUAAGUUAGCUGAUAGAAAUUUUGAGCGUGCCGGCUCACCAAGUCCCACUCCCGUUAAGGCUGGCCGCUGGGGACCACGCCCCAAUGAAGUCUCCUAUGAUGCUAAUGGACUUCCCAUCUUCCAUCCACGCAAUCGCUUCAGGGAUUUGUUGAGCCCCAAUCCUUAUGCGCCCAUCUCAGCAUUCACACGCGAUCCCUUCUGGUGGGAUGUCGAUGAUUUGUUGCCCCUUCGUGCCCUAUCUGUGCCACGUGCCCUCUCCGUGCCAAGGGGUUCCAGCCCCAUUACACGCGACUCGUUCUUGUCGCCGGUGAAGAAUCGUUACUUGUGGUCCAGACAUCCAGCUAGACCAUUGACCCCUGAAGGCGAUGAAAUUUUCUAAAAGGAAAUUUACUAAAAACUUUGCAUAAUACCGACAACGAAAAAAGAACAAAACAAAAAUUUAUCAAAACGAAAUUUAACGGCUGUUUAUCAAACCCUUAACGAACAUUAAAAAAUAACAAUAACUUUGCAAAAAAAAAGUUUAAUUGCAAAAACUAGAAAUUUCAAAUAAAAUUACAAUUUUAUCAACAAAAGUAAAAACAACGCAGCAUAUUAUAACAUACCUAUAUAUAUAUUUAUAUAUAUUUAGCAUAAAAAAUCUCUUCACUACGCUGAAGAAAACCAGUAAUCUGUAUACUUAUUUACUACAUUUACUCCAAUUCUUUGUUCUAACCAACAGCCAGCCUUUAAGCCAAACAAAUUGUUAAUGAAAUACAAAUGCAAUUACUCGUACAUUAUUAUAAAAAUUGCACACCGUACGAUUUUGUAAACACGACGACAAUUUAAAAAAAAUAUAUAUAAAUGCGAGCUUUUUUCGUAUUCAUGAAAGAAGCAAAACGAAUAAUGAAACGAGGGCCAACUAAGGAAGAAAUCGAAAAUAUACUAAAUUAGUCGACCUUAUCCAAUAAAACGAAAAUUUUUUCAAAGCAUAAAUAAAGAACACCCACAAAAACAACCAGUAAAUUAAUAAAACUCAUGGAAACAAGAACUUCAGUGAAUUCAAUUAAUACAAAUCGGAGUGGGUGGACAAUACCAAUAAAAUAAAUAUAACAACAACAACAUCUAUUAUUAAAAUAUUUACGAUUCAGUUUAUUUACUUACACGAUUUUGUAUUUUGUAUAGAGAAUGUAUUUAUUUCAAUUUUUUGUGCUGCCAAUGACGACAACUCUGGAACAUAAUAUAAACAAAUCAGAAACGAAAUAAAAAUAUAAAAAAAAAAUAAAUAAAAAUAUUAUAAAGUAAAAAAAGACCUGAGUGCAUAUUUCCCGAUAUUAGUUUUCGCUAACUAUAGCAAAAACGGAAUCAUCUUUCGAGUUUUAUUCAUAAUAAUAACUUUUCAAUAAGUAUUGCAAGCAUUAUGUGUAAAAAAAUGAUUUACAUUUAUUCUUAGCGAGAGCACGCGCGCUUCACAAAGAGCGCGAGAUGGUUUAAUGUUUUAAGAUUACAGUGAGCUUAUUCGACACUGUGGUCUUAUUAGGUUUAGGCGUUAUGUAAGAAGUACUUGUAUUGUUCCUUUUUUGUAUAUUUGCGUAAGUUUUAUUUAAAUGUUAAGUUUGGAUAAAUGAAGAAAACAUUUUGCAGUAAAAUAUUUCUGUUUAAACACACAAAAAGAAAACAAAUGAAAUAAAUGUGUACACAAACUCAUUCACAAAAUUGUGUGUGCCAACGAAUUCUUUGUCUGUGCGUGUAAUUGUAAAAUUUGUUAAAAAUUAACUGAAUUGUAUAUAUCUGCCAACUUUUUAUAAAAUAUGAAUGC
Molecule: non-coding RNA, 2590 nt
Organism: Bactrocera oleae (olive fruit fly)
Lineage: Eukaryota; Metazoa; Arthropoda; Insecta; Diptera; Tephritidae
Source: RefSeq, a predicted model, not a curated record